UCAGGAGAUCGAGACCAUUCUAGCGAAUACGGUGAAACCCUGUCUCUACCAAAAACAACAAAAAAAAAAAUUAGCCAGGCGUAGUGGCGGGUGCCUAUAGUCCCAGCUACUCAGGAGGGUGAGGCAGGAGAAUGGCGUGAACCCAGGAGGCGGAGCUUGCGAAGUGAGCCUAGAUCAUACCACUGCACUCCAGCCUGGGCGAUUGAGCGAGACUCUGUCUCCAAAAGAAAAAAAAAAGAAAAAAAGAAAAUUCAAAUUGCUACAUCAGUCUUCAACAGUUUCUGAUGUGCUGGAAGAAAGAUAAUUACUCUUUGGAAUGCGCAUAUAUAUAAUUUCUGCUCUGAAAGCGUCCCAAUGUAACUAUGAGGCGAAGUCAAAGAACUUGUUUCUCGCAUCAUCCCUGUUACUGCUUGAGACACCAGAGAGAGUUUAAUGUAAGUCAGAAGUCUUCUUUCAUCUUAUGGCUGUGCAAUCUGGAAUAUGA
RNAcentral lists this long non-coding RNA (484 nucleotides) under Rhinopithecus bieti (black snub-nosed monkey). Its description in RNAcentral is "lncRNA (ENSRBIG00000046017.1)". Lineage: Eukaryota; Metazoa; Chordata; Mammalia; Primates; Cercopithecidae. The record is from RNAcentral.